Peromyscus maniculatus bairdii (prairie deer mouse) is the source of this 1332-nucleotide non-coding RNA. NCBI's taxonomy places the organism in Eukaryota, Metazoa, Chordata, Mammalia, Rodentia, Cricetidae. The record is from RefSeq and is a predicted model, not a curated record.
CUGCUCAGAUUUGCCUUGAGAGAGGUACAACUGUGGGUUCUAGAAAUGGUAAAUAUGUUACUAUUUUUAAUAAUUUUCUCCAUGUUGUUAAUUUCUUCAUAUCAGCCUUACUUUCAAUAAGUCUUGGUAAAAAAACAAAAACAAACAAAAAACUCCAAAAAACUAGUCAAGUGUCAGCUGUGUUUUGGAGAAGCCUAUAUGGUGCUUGAAGAUGGUUUUCAGAUAGCAGAAGAGGCUAUGUGGAAGCCCAGAGACUGGUCUGAAGCCAAGUCAUGACCAGUGAUAACUAGGAUAUGUUUUCUAGAGUGCUUCCAAGGCCUUUAUAUUCUCUACACUCGACAGAGGGAUUAAGCUUUCUCCACUGAAAGGGUCUAUGUGUGGGCAACAGGAAAGAGAGGCCCGAGGGCUGGAGAGGUGAAGACCUUUGCUCCAUAGUUUGACCCACAGCUCAGUGUACUAACUAGUUUCUAAUUGUUUUGUUUUUGUUUUUGUUUUUGUUUUUGUCUCAUAGUUAAGACUGGAUUUCCACCUCACAUUUUAGUAGACUAUGGUGAGGCAGAUUCUCAUCUGUUGAAUCUUGAACGGUUGGCACUGGAGUUGCAGAACUGGACCAGGCUCUGGCAAAGUUAUUUUUGCCAGUUGAUCAGUAUCAAACCAAGUCAGCGAGCUGGUUGGUUAGCAGUAGAUCAUGGAGAAGUUCCUCACAUAUCUGUCAGGUGGACCUCACCCAACCAGCUGAUAUCCUGAAUUAAACAGAAGAUUGGCUUUUUCCAGGAGGGAGGAAAUCCCACAGCAGAUAGUCUUAUGACUUGAAUGACAUUCCUGUCUCACACCCCACGACAUUCCUGAUAGUGUCCUGGAGACUGCCUUCUGCUGGGGUCCUGGGAUGACUUGCUGCCUGCCGUCCAGCUGCUGCCAGAUUGAACGAGUCAGCUAAGCUUUCAGUUCUCACAAGGAAACACCCCAAGCGGGCGCCAGAGACCCCACCAUCCGCCAGGACUCCUCAGCUCCACGGUGCUGCUGGAGGAGCUUCUGCACGCCUGCCUUCGAAGCUGCAGCUUUUCCAGAGACAGUGCAGCCAAGAGACCCGCAGGCCCCUCCUCUCGGUCCCCUCAGCCUUACUCUGGGGCUGCUUGAUAUGCAGCCAGCAUCCACUCAACAUAAUGCGCCUUACCUGCCAAUGUGCUUUGAGGGAUAUUGUUAGCAUUAAAUUUUCCAUUUACAUUUUCAUGUUUGACAUAAUUGAGGAAUGAAUGCUCUUAUGAAAAUUAAACUUGUGGUUCUCCUGGGCUGCUGUAACCCUGUUAAAAUGUAAUGUGAUUUUUGAUGCUU